GACGAACGCUGGCGGCGUGCUUAACACAUGCAAGUCGAACGGAAAGGCCCUGCUUGCAGGGUACUCGAGUGGCGAACGGGUGAGUAACACGUGGGUGAUCUGCCCUGCACUUCGGGAUAAGCCUGGGAAACUGGGUCUAAUACCGGAUAGGAGCCAUUUUUAGUGUGAUGGUUGGAAAGUUUUUUCGGUGUAGGAUGAGCUCGCGGCCUAUCAGCUUGUUGGUGGGGUGAUGGCCUACCAAGGCGGCGACGGGUAGCCGGCCUGAGAGGGUGGACGGCCACAUUGGGGCUGAGAUACGGCCCAGACUCCUACGGGAGGCAGCAGUGGGGAAGAUUGCACAAUGGGCGCAAGCCUGAUGCAGCGACGCCGCGUGGGGGAUGACGGCCUUCGGGUUGGAAACUCCCUUCGCUAGGGACGAAGCUUUUUGUGACGGUACCUAGAUAAGAAGCACCGGCUAACUACGUG
Molecule: ribosomal RNA, 465 nt
Filed under: uncultured bacterium
Lineage: Bacteria
Description: partial 16S ribosomal RNA
Rfam family: Bacterial small subunit ribosomal RNA
Source: RNAcentral